Molecule: ribosomal RNA, 503 nt
Filed under: uncultured bacterium
Lineage: Bacteria
Description: partial 16S ribosomal RNA
Rfam family: Bacterial small subunit ribosomal RNA
Source: RNAcentral
AUUGAACGCUGGCGGCAGGCUUAACACAUGCAAGUCGAGCGGGGUGAUGGUGCUUGCACUAUCACUUAGCGGCGGACGGGUGAGUAAUGCUUAGGAAUCUGCCUAUUAGUGGGGGACAACAUCUCGAAAGGGAUGCUAAUACCGCAUACGUCCUACGGGAGAAAGCAGGGGAUCACUUGUGACCUUGCGCUAAUAGAUGAGCCUAAGUCGGAUUAGCUAGUUGGUGGGGUAAAGGCCUACCAAGGCGACGAUCGGUAGCGGGUCUGAGAGGAUGAUCCGCCACACUGGGACGGAGACACGGCCCAGACUCCUACGGGAGGCAGCAGUGGGGAAUAUUGGACAAUGGGGGGAACCCUGAUCCAGCCAGGCCGCGUGUGUGAAGAAUGCCUUAUGGUUGUAAAACACUUUAAGCGAGGAGGAGGCUCUUUUGGUUAAUACCCAAGAUGAGUGGACGUUACUCGCAGAAUAAGCACCGGCUAACUCUGUGCCAGCCGCCGCAGUAA